CGCAAGUCCAAUGCCUCUUACCCCACCCCUCUCCCUCUUCGUAUCUGUUACAGUUCAAAUAGCUUCCUUGCCAUCUUUCCUCUUUCUGGCAUAAUGGCACAACGGCUCUCACAAAAUCAGGCAAAGGUCUUGCUAUUUCCGGGAAGAAUCCAAGGCAAAUCUCUUUUGAAUCCUGCCUCUCCGAUUCUUCCUCUUUUCUUUUGCCUCUACCAAGGUUCAAAUUUCAAAAGGGUUAGAGGUAAAAUCCCACCCAAAGGGCCCUAAGUUUCUUCUAUAAAUGCUUGCAAUAGGGAAAUAUUGUGGAGGACUUUUGGAUGCUAUCUUCUCCUCACUAAAAUUCACUAUUUCCUAUUAGCUAUCUCCUUAAGUAAAAGUUUUAACUUCAACACCUCUACUGUUUCUAUUUGGUAUUUACAUAGCAGAAAUUUUGGUUAUCCUUUAUUUAUUUUAGUUGAAUCUGCUUUUGCCCGAGAGGAAGGAGUAAGGUCGAGAUCGAAGUUCGAUAGUACAUCUAAGACCCGCCUCAGUUCGCUGCCCUGCAAAAGGUCUGUAUCUUCCCAUCUCGCUCUCAUUUUGAUUUUGAUUAGGGCACGUUUGAUGCAUGAUGUGUGUUUGCUGCGAGGGCUAUUAGUUUCUAUGAAGCUUUUAUGUUUGGUGCUAUAAAAAUAGCUCUAAUAAAUGUUUGUUUAAGGGAAUGAUCUAUGACUAAAGUUGUUAGCAAUAAUCCUUUAAGGAUAUCAUGUUCUGGUAUGUAGUGUUAGAAGCAUGCUUGACUGAUAUUUGAUGAAAUGCUCACAUGAAAAAGUAGAGAUUUAGGAAAAUUUUCUUUUCUUAUUAUCCCAAAUAUGCUGUACAGAAUGCAAAUUUAUACACCUAAAAAAUAGGAAUGAUGACUAUGGACAAUUACAACUAUAUUAAGUACAAGUGUGUCAUUCUUUAAUAUGUUAUCCUACUCAUUGUUUCCAUUAUGACAUUUGCAUCUAUAAUUGCAUUUGGAUAUUGAUGUUCUACAAAAAUAGACUGGAUGUGUUAAUAAAUUGGGCCAGACCUUAUGACAUAUUUGGGAUUCCAGUAUUUUGUUUAUUUGGACCAAUAUGUUAUAUUGGCCCAGUUUCGUGUUUGAGCCCCUGAAUCAUAUGUAUUGGUCUUCCAUUCUCUAGGUCAUUUGAGACACUUCUGCUUUCAUCUCUUCUUCAUCUUCUUCUGCGAUUGUAGUGAUGUGAGAGAUAGAGUUAAAAAAGACUGGUUUGUAGGAGAGACAUCCGUGAAAUUCAUAGUAGUAGGUGAGAUUGGUGCUGCAAGACAAAAUUUGGUUAGAUCAGUCAAGUACACAACAUUGCACACAUAAUCUGCCAGAUAUGAUGGUGGAUUGUGGUCCCUAGUAGACCGCCUUAGUUUAGUGGAAGGGGUAGGGAAGAUGGAGAGGAAAUACCCUUGGAGAUAGGAGAUGAGGUAGGAGUGUUGUGAGGUGAAGUUAUGGAAGGUUGUAUAGGGGAGUUAAAAUCUGACUCUGUGGAUAAAUGGAUAUUAGACGGAGAGAAAGAGUGAUUCGGGUCUUGAAUAGUAGAAACUUCUUUAGGAAAAAUUGGUUGUUCAGAUGAAGGAGACAAUAAUGGAAAUAUGUCCUCAUAAAAAAUAACAUCUCGUGAAAUAAAAAUAGCUUUAGAUUGAAGAUCCAACAAUUUGUAGCCUUUCUUUCCAAAAGAAUAACCUAUAAAAAUACACUUUACAGAUCUAGAUUCAAGUUUUGCUUUGUGAUGAGGUAAAGUAGAUGCAUAACCUAGACAACCAAAACAUUUGAGAAAAUCAUAAGAUGGAACUUUUCCAAAAAGAAUUUCUAAAGGUGUUUGAAAUUAAGAACUCUAGAGGGAAAUCGAUUUAUUAGAAAAGUAGCAGUUAACAAACAAUCACCCCAAUACAUGGUGGGGAGAUUAGAUUGAAAUAAUAGAGCCCUGCAUGUCUCUAAAAGAUGUUUGUGUUUUCGCUCAACCACUCCAUUUUGUUGUGGUGUGGAAACACAAGAGGUUUGAUGAACAAUUCCAUUAGAGGAUUUUUUUUUGAAAGAAUAGAUCCUGAUCCUAAUUCCAAAACAUUAUCAGAACGAAUGAUUUUAAUUUUUGUGGAAAACUGUCUUCCUACCAUUAUUAGAAAAGAUUUUAAAACUGAAAAAGUAUUACUUUUUGUUCUAGCAUACAAAUUCUCAAGCUAGUAUCAACAUGAAUUAGUUGAAAAAUGGAAUUUGAAUUUAUAUGACUUGAAUGAAAAGACAACUUUGCCUGCCUAGCUUGAGAACAUACAUCACAAGAAUGAUUAAAUGUGGUAAGAGAAGGAAAAUGAAAAUUUGAUAGAUUUUGCAUGCUAGAUAUGGGCAUGUGCCCCAAUCUUUUGUUCCAUAGGCUUACAUUAGAGUUGAUUCUAGCUGAACAAGAAACUGAAUGAGACACAAUGUGAUUCUUAAAGUUGUUGCAAGAAAAAAAAGACUGAAAAAAUGAUUGAUUUCCAUGAACUAGUCCGGAACUUAGAGAAACUGGACUAAGUAGAUAUAGACCUUCCUUCACUUCACCAACUACCUCUGCAAGAAUGUACGAAAAGAUGAGAAAAUCAAGGUACACAUGAGUUGUUUAGUGAGUUUGUGAACUGAAAUUAGAUUAAACUUGAAAUCUGGAACAUACAGCACAUUAUUUAGGAUUAAAUCUGGCAGAACAUGGACACUACCAACUUGACUGACCUUAACCUUAUAUGAAUUCGGCAGAUUGACGUAUAGAGAUUUGGUUAGAGGCUUUAUAUUAAAUAAAAUGGAAAGAUCAAAGUCAUAUGUUUUGAAGCUCCUGAAUCUAUUAUCCAGGAGGUAGAAUUCAUGUAAGGAAAACAGGAAAGACAAUAUAGAUUAGGGGCAUUGAUGGUUUUACCAGCAUAGUUGGCACUAGAAUUUGCAUCAGAACUCUGCUCACCCUGUUGUACCUUGUUGAAGAAGUUGAUAAAGCUAACUGAACUGUUCUUGAGUUAUGACUUUACCUGCUGUAUUUUCUACCAUUGUGUUUGCUGACAAAGAUGUGUUUUCUUCAUGCAUGAUUGCUGCAUUGCUGUGAGUUCCUCCAUGAUAUUUUCUGGAUUUGGUGAACUUCAAAGUGGAGGGAAAACCAAUGAUUCUAUAGCAUUUAUCAAUGGAAUGACCAGGUUUCUUGCAAUAGUUGCACAUCAGGUUACUCUUCUUUCCUUCAAGGUUUGCUUUGAAUUUUCCUUCCCUAUUAGCAUACUUUUGAAAAUAGGUUUGCUGAUUUCCUUCCAGAAAAGCAGUUUCAACAGGGUGUUGUGCAACAUGAAUUUCCCUUUGUUUCUCAUCUUGAAUGAAAAGAGAGUAGGCUUGAUUGACACUAGGCAGAGGGGUAAGCAUUAGAAUGUUACUCCUUACAGCUGAAUAGAUAUCAUUAAGUCCCAUGAGGAAUUGGAUGAGCCUGCCAUCUGCCACAACUCCUUUUUACAUACACUCGUAAAGGGUAUAAAUAUAAGGGAGUUUUUCCAAUUAAAGAACAAUCGAAACGGGAUUGUUUAUUUAUUAAAAAUCAGAGUCGCCACUUGGGAUAAUUUAGGGUGUCCCAAGUCACCGGUUGAAAUCCCAAAUCGAGGAAGUUGACUCUUAUUUAUGGUCCGCGAACACAGAAAUCCGGGUAAGGAAUUCUGUUAACCCGGAAGAAUGUAUUAGACAUUCCCGAGUUCCGUGGUUCUAGUACGGUUGCUUUUGAUUAUACUUGGCUUGCGAAAUUGUUUAUUUUCUCAUUUUGGAACCUAUGUGCUUUCACCUCUUAACCGCUUUUAAAUAAAAAAAAUCUUGAAACGGGUCACACGUACGUGUACCCAUUUGUUUGGCGCGUCAAAAAAUCAUGUCACGCGACCGUGUCCAUAAUUAAUAAUGCUUUAUUAUUGCCAAAAGUUUGGCCGAAGUUACGCGGACGUAUACACAAUCACGAUAGUGUGUUAAAUGUGCCUAGAGCAAAAUACCAACAUUUAUCAUAUUUUUUAUCUAGAUUAUUAACAUGAGGGCCAUGAAUAACUAAAUUGUAGAUGGCAUGCUUCAAAACUCGUAAAAUUGACUAGAGGCCUAUUAGCAACUAUUUCUAUUGUUAAAGGAAAUUGUUUGAAGUUGCGCGAACGCAUAUUCCAAUUUUAUUUUUAGAAACCGUAAUUAUGUCACGCGAACGUGUCCACAACCAUGAUAGUAUUUUUAAACGGUCCUAAAGGUUUCUCUACGAACAUUUGUUAUUUUACAUCUAUAUUAUGAAAUUAACACAAGAGCCAUUUGUUACUAAGUGUCUAAUUAUGGCUUGCCUCAAAUUAAUUACCAUAAAUAAUUGAACUAACGCGAUUUAAGGCCGAGGUAUGCAACUAUUAGGGAAAGGGGGAGGAGCAUUAGAUUAACAUAAACAACAAAUAAACCUUUAGGCUCAAGAAGAGGCCCAGGACAAACGAAAACAACGAGACAUACUCCUUAUUUCCGAAGGGGCCUCCAAGACCAGGCCAAACAGAAUGCCUUUAACAUGAGAUCUUAGACUGACCUCAGAGCCCAAAGACGAAACCCAAACGAACUCAGAAAAAUUAAAAACCAAACAAAUCAACUAAUUAACAAUCACAAACAAACGAGGAACUAAUUAAGCUAACUAAUUAAGCUCAGUGACCAAAACAAAGACAAAAAUGAGAAAUUUGAGCGUGGCACUAAUAAAAAAUUAACCAGACCAUAAACUUCAAAAAGAAAGUUGAAAAGCCAAUGACACAGAUACGAACGCAAAAUCAAUCUUAAGAGAACCUAGGUUUAGAACUUUGUUCAAAUCUCAGUCAAGGUAAAAAACAUAAAAAAAGUUAGAAGAAAAGAAGAGGAACAGAAGGUAAACUCGGAUAGAAGGGAAGGAAACUUAACCUAGCAAACCUGAAGUGGCGUCGGACACCUUGAUUUCAGCGGAACUGACACUAAUCACUUGUUCAUUGUCAAGAACAAAUGAGCAGCAUCAAUUCAUGUUGAAUCAGACUUCAAACUCGAGCAAAUCGGAGGCUUAAGGUCAUACAUGCCACAACUUUGACGGAAUUUUUAGGGUUCGAACUCAGAUUUAACAUUCGGAGAGUUCUAGGGUGAUUCAAGGGAAUCUAAGUGGGGAUUUAGGGUGAGGGAGAGACGGGGGUUCAGGGGUGUGAUUUUGGGGUCGAACCGAGGCGCCGCCGCCAUCGGAGAACACAGGGAGGCGCUAGGGUUUUCUUUCAAAUCAAGAUUCGAGACGUUCUGGGCUUGUUCGAUGGAAGGUGCUUGUAGAUUUGGACUGAGGGAGUUGAGGAGGGUAUUUGGUGUUAAUCUGAGGUCGGUUUGUGGUGGCGCCGCCUCCGACGGUGGGGGGAUUUAGGGGCGGCGUCGUUAGGGUUUGGCAGGGGCGGGUUGUGAGGGAGAUGAGUGAGGGGUGGGGGCAGGUUUGGACAUUUAAAUACUAAAGGACCUGGGCUUCUGGACCGUCCGAUCAAGAAACCUCGACGAUCCUGAUCUGCUGCCCGUAGNNNNNNNNNNNNNNNNNNNNNNNNNGGUUUUGGGGGGGGGGGGGGAAACCGACCGGGUUAGGGUGGUUUGGGCCGGGUAUUGGGUAAUUUUCAUUUGGGCUGGGACAAUUAAAUUGGGUUUGAGCCCAGAUUUGGAUUUUUUUCAUUCUUUCUUUUUCCUUUUUCAAUUUCACAAUUCUUUUCUUUUUCCAAAAUUCAAAUAAAACCUAAAUUAAUUAAUAAUAAUUUUUAAACUAAAUUAACCUACCCAAUUAGAUUAAUCACUCAACAUGGUAUUUACAAUAAUUAAUUAAAUCCUAAAUUUAAAGCAAAAUUAUACAAUUCAAAAUUAAAAAGUAAAAAUGCACAAUGAAUUAUUUUUGUGAUUUUUAUUUUUUAUAAAACAAAUUAAUUUGCUAAUUAAUCUAAAAAUAUUGAAAUUAAAUCCUAAAUGCAGAUGCAACAUAUUUUUUGUAUUUUUCAUGAAUUAAAUAAAAUAAACGUGCACAGACAAAUGCAAAUAAUUAACAGAAAAUGCCACGAAAUCCAACAAAAUUGCAGACACUGAAAGAAAUUAUUUUGUUUUGAAUUUGUUGGAAUAAUUCAGAUAGGGCAAAAAUCACGUGCUCACACCAUCUUGAAAGGAUUUGAAAGUCUUUGAUUUUCCUCUACAGUUGCAUUCAUAUGUACAAUGCACACAAGUAUUCAAGGUAUCUAACUCAUCCCAAAUCCUUUUCACCUAUGUAUAGUAACCUGCUAUAUCAGAGGUUCCCUGUACUAUAUCACUCAACUCCUUUUGUAACUGAUAAAGUUGAGCUCCAUUACAUUGCCCAAAUCUAACUUCAAGUUCUUUCCAAAUCUCAUUUGCAAUUUUAGAAUAAAGGACACUUUCAGCUAUGUCCUUAGAUAGAGAGUUCAAAAUCCAUGAUAUAACCAUAUCAUUGCAGCGAUUCCAAUGCUUGAAAUCAGUGGAAGUCGCAUCUGGUUGAUAAAAUGUUCCAUCGAUGAAACCAAGUUUGUUCUUGGCAGAAAAUGCAAUAAUUAUGGCUCUACACCAUCCUCCAUAUCCUUUCCCAUCAAAAACUGAGUUGACAAGAACCAUUCUUGAUGAAUCAGAUGAAUGAAGGUAAUUGAGGUGAGUGGAAUCGAUGAUGAUAGCAGCUGGUUGGUUAAUUGUUCUAGCUGCAGAAAUAUUUGAGGAGUCAUCUAUGGAGUUUGGUGCCAUUUCAAUAAAAGAGAAAGAAAAAAAAAGCUUCAGUUAUCUACUGCUCUGAUACCAAGUAGAGAUUUAGGAAAAUUUCUUUUUCUUAUUAUCCCACAUAUGCUGUACAGAAUGCAAAUUUAUACACCUAAAAAAUAGGAAUGAUGACUAUGGACAAUUACAGCUAUACUAAGUACAAGUGUGCCAUUCUUUAAUAUGUUAUCCUACUCAUUGUUUGCACUAUGACAUGUGCAUCUAUAAUUGCAUUUGGAUAUUGAUGUUCUGGAAGGAACAAGUGCCUUCCAGCUGUAUCCACUAUGCUACAAAAAUGGAUUGGAUGUGUUAAUAAAUUGGGCUAGACCUUAUGACAUAUUUGGGCUUUCAGUAUUUUGUUUAUUUGGACCAAUAUGUUAUAUUGGCCCAGUUUCUUGUUUGAGCCCGAUAGCCUCUGAAUUAUAUGUGCUGGUCUUCCAUUCUAUAGGUCAUUUGAGACACUUCUGCUUUCAUCUCUUCUUCAUCUUCUUCUUCGAUUGCAGCUGCUCUAUGUCGACCAGCUCUUGAUUUAGGGGCCAGGUUGUUGAUUUCCAGUCCAACAGAAAAUACCUAUCUCCUUUUGAAUACUUUUCUAUUAGAUGCCAUGAUUUUAAGAAGGAUAUUUUCCAUGAGCUAGUUGCCUUGCAAAAGAUUAAUUUUCUAUUGUGAUUUAGCACCUUUUCGCCUAAACAUCGUGCUUAUGAUUCCGAACAACUUGUUUAAAAAUAGAUUUAUCUAAAUGCAUACCGUUAAGCGAAGACUUGAUAUGCUUUCGCCGAAGUUUUGAACUUAUUGUUAUUAGUUAUCCAAAAUUCUUUUCUUUAGGAAACAUGGCUAUAGAAAUCCUAUGCUCUAUUUCUUUGUGCCGGUUAGUAAAUGGAUUUGAAAGUGUAGACGAACUUUAUUAAGAUGACAUUUAUGUCUUGAUAAAAUAUGUCCAUGUUGCUAUGUGAUUAUCAUUGGAAGUUUAUAUUUCAGUCAUUACCCUUAAGAGUUUGAUACUAGUCUAAAUAGCUGGAAGUAUUUAUCUCCGGCAUUUUGUCCAGAUUGUUGUGUGUUUGUUUGAUGAUAAGAAAUAUGGCUGGAAUUUCAUAAAAUAAUCUGACACUACGACCUCUUUGCAUAUCUUGAUCUUGAUAUAUUGUUAAAAAUCAAGUUCCACUUAGUAAUCCUUCUUAUCCUUGCAUAUAUAUGUUAAUUAAACUCUUAAGUUAUUUUGCUAAUUGUUUAUUUCUCUCUUCUUUUACAUGUAUACUUUGGAGCAUAUGGAGUCUUAAUGCGAGAUUUUCUUUAUCCACGUUUGGAGUCAACACAACUCAUUUUCCUUAGAAUGUGCCGGAUAGCAAGAAACAAGCGAAACGCUUGGGGAUGCCUACGGCGUCCUUCUUCUUUUAAUCUCUUUGCCACUCUAUUCUUAUCUAAUGUUUUUAUGAUUGUUAAGUUAUUUGUGUGCUUUGGAUUUACCUCAAGACUGGAAUUUUUUUUUUACAUUUGAGAGUUGCCGCUUAAGUGGAACUGACCUUGUUUUGGAAUCUUCCAUGUUGAGGUAAAUAUGGAAUUAUCCAAGUAUACUACAGCUUUUCAAGAUUAGCUACCUUGGAGAUUUAUUAUACAGUAAAUAUUUUAUGCUACAGCUGUACAAGUGUUCCGAUUUUAUGAACUUAUAGUUUUGUUAUGAC
RNAcentral lists this long non-coding RNA (8427 nucleotides) under Nicotiana tabacum (common tobacco). RNAcentral describes it as "long non-coding RNA (NTAB_LNC014439)". Lineage: Eukaryota; Viridiplantae; Streptophyta; Magnoliopsida; Solanales; Solanaceae. The record is from RNAcentral.